Non-coding RNA from Podarcis lilfordi (Lilford's wall lizard), 67 nucleotides. The record is from the annotation of a GenBank genome assembly. NCBI's taxonomy places the organism in Eukaryota, Metazoa, Chordata, Lepidosauria, Squamata, Lacertidae.
GACAGCUCAGUUGUAGAGAGCGAGACUUUUCAUCUCGGGGCUGUGGGUUCGAGUCCCAUGUUGGGCA